Molecule: ribosomal RNA, 497 nt
Filed under: uncultured bacterium
Lineage: Bacteria
Description: partial 16S ribosomal RNA
Rfam family: Bacterial small subunit ribosomal RNA
Source: RNAcentral
GACGAACGCUGGCGGCGUGCCUAAUACAUGCAAGUUGAGCGCUGAAGGUUGGUACUUGUACCAACUGGAUGAGCAGCGAACGGGUGGGUAACGCGUGGGGAAUCUGCCUUUGAGCGGGGGACAACAUUUGGAAACGAAUGCUAAUACCGCAUAAAAACUUUAAACACAAGUUUUAAGUUUGAAAGAUGCAAUUGCAUCACUCAAAGAUGAUCCCGCGUUGUAUUAGCUAGUUGGUGAGGUAAAGGCUCACCAAGGCGAUGAUACAUAGCCGACCUGAGAGGGUGAGAGGCCACAAUGGGAAUUAGACACGGCCCAAACUCCUACGGGAGGCAGCAGUAGGGGAUCUUCGGCAAUAGACGAAAGUCUGAACGGGCAACGCCGCGGGAGUGAAGAAGGUUUUCGGAUCGUAAAACUCUGUUGAUAGAGAAGAACGAUGGGGAGAGUGAAAAGCUCAUCAAGUGACGGUAACUAACCAGAAAGGGACGGCUAACUACGUG